RNAcentral lists this non-coding RNA (199 nucleotides) under Halalkalibacter krulwichiae. Lineage: Bacteria; Bacillati; Bacillota; Bacilli; Caryophanales; Bacillaceae. The record is from RNAcentral.
CUGAAGGAUUAUAUCGAAGAGUCAAAUGAUAGAGUAACGUCUUGAAGGGCUCUCUCUUAGUCGAUUAGCACUGAAAUUAGUAAGAGUCGCAGUGUUAUAAGCUCGGCAAAAAGGCGUGAGAAUUUACCGUAACAGUGAUUAUGGCUGACGAAAUCCUACCCGCGGGGGUGGUGUAAAUCAUGAUGCUUGAGUUGAUUGA